Molecule: long non-coding RNA, 592 nt
Organism: Ictalurus punctatus (channel catfish)
Lineage: Eukaryota; Metazoa; Chordata; Actinopteri; Siluriformes; Ictaluridae
Source: Ensembl
GAUAGAUAGACAGACACACAGACAGAUAGAUAGACAGACACACAGACAGAUAGAUAGAUAGAUAGAUAGACAGACAGAUAGAUAGAUAGAUAGAUAGAUAGAUAGAUAGAUAGACAGACAGACAGGUCCAUAGAUAGAUAGAUAGAUAGAUAGAUAGAUAGAUAGAUAGAUAGACAGACAGACAGAUAGAUAGAUAGAUAGAUAGAUAGACAGACAGAUAGAUAGAUAGAUAGAUAGAUAGAUAGAUAGAUAGAUAGAUAGAUAGACAGACAGACAGAUAGAUAGACAGAUAGAUAGAUAGACAGACAGAUAGAUAGAUAGAUAGAUAGAUAGAUAGAUAGAUAGAUAGACAUAUAGAUAGUCAUGUGAAAAAAAUUGGAUCACUUUAAUUUAAAUUGAUGCGCUUUGUAACAAUGUCUAUUAAUAAAGGUCAUACACUCUAUUAAAUGACACAUAAAAUUGACAUUUUGUAGUAACUUUCACAAUUUAAAUUAACAAAAAAAAAUACAAAUCGGUCACAUUGGAAAAAGUAAGUACACCCCUACAUUUAUCACACCUUCAAAUACCAUAUAAUUAGAGUCAUGUGUUGAAU